CGUGCAUCUCCCUAGGUCACGGUCCAGGUACAGGGCAAGGAGGUCCUAUCAGAGAAGAUGGAACCUUCCAGCUUCCAGCCUAGACCUCAAGUCAAGCUUCAGACUCCAGAGGCUGGGUCUGAGACUACCCCAGGGGCCACGCAGGAAUUGCCGCUGGACCUACAAAUGAAAGAGGAGACAGAGUUGAUGGAGAAUCCAGAGCUCCUGGAGUCUGAGCCUCUUUCUGCUGCUCAAGAGGCUGCAGCCACUCUCCUACCUAAGGUGGCCCAGGGCCAUGGGAUAGCACUGGACCAGACCUCUCCUCACAGCGACACUGAACCUGAUGUGCCCCCAUGGAGCGAGGACCCUAUGCCCCUGUGGCAUGAGGAAGUAGAAGGCAUCUUGUCGCCAGUGACCUUGGUGGACACUUCAUCCCUCCAGUAUCCUCUCACACAAACUCACCCUGUAGUCCAUUAUGCUUGAGGCCGGCACCUUGAAGGCUCACUCUGUAGCAAGGACAUACUUCUACAUAGACAACUCCCAUGUCGAUCACAUGUAUGCCAUGUUCAUCUCAUCUCUAACCCCCAAGCCUUCAUGGA
RNAcentral lists this long non-coding RNA (578 nucleotides) under Rattus norvegicus (Norway rat). RNAcentral describes it as "long non-coding RNA NONRATT000291". Lineage: Eukaryota; Metazoa; Chordata; Mammalia; Rodentia; Muridae. The record is from RNAcentral.